AGCAGCCGCGGUAAUUCCAGCUCCAAUAGCGUAUAUUAAAGUUGUUGCAGUUAAAAAGCUCGUAGUUGAAUUUCGGGAUUAGUACGUUGGUCGUGCCUUAGGUACGUACUGGGUGUUACUGGUUCCUACCUUCUGACGAACCAUCAUGUCAUUAAUUUGGUGUGGCGGGGAAUCAGGACUGUUACUUUGAAAAAAUUAGAGUGUUUAAAGCAGGCUCGCGCUUGAAUACAUUAGCAUGGAAUAAUGAAAUAGGACGUUGACCCUAUUUUGUUGGUUUCUAGGAUUGACGUAAUGAUUAAUAGGGAUAGUUGGGGGCAUUAGUAUUCAAUUGUCAGAGGUGAAAUUCUUGGAUUUAUUGAAGACUAACUACUGCGAAAGCAUUUGCCAAGGAUGUUUUCAUUAAUCAAGAACGAAAGUUAGGGGAUCGAAGACGAUCAGAUACCGUCGUAGUCUUAACCAUAAACUAUGCCGACUAGGGAUCGGAUGAUGUUAUUUUUAAUGACUCAUUCGGCGCCUUACG
RNAcentral lists this ribosomal RNA (520 nucleotides) under uncultured Glomus. RNAcentral's name for it is "SSU rRNA". It matches the Rfam family "Eukaryotic small subunit ribosomal RNA", at positions 569 to 1092 of the family's 1831-position model. The record is from RNAcentral. Lineage: Eukaryota; Fungi; Glomeromycota; Glomeromycetes; Glomerales; Glomeraceae.